This 1279-nucleotide ribosomal RNA is filed under the name uncultured Sebacina. RNAcentral describes it as "eukaryotic LSU rRNA". The stretch from base 604 to 1279 matches the Rfam family "Eukaryotic large subunit ribosomal RNA", at positions 1 to 656 of the family's 3401-position model. Lineage: Eukaryota; Fungi; Basidiomycota; Agaricomycetes; Sebacinales; Sebacinaceae. The record is from RNAcentral.
UUCCGUAGGUGAACCUGCGGAAGGAUCAUUAAUGAAACUUCAAAGUCGGUCAAUUGUGCUGGUGACCCUGUCGCAGGUGCACAUCGGUCGCAAAUCCACACACACCUGUGCACCUCUGACCUUGAAGCUCGCUCGCUCAUCGAGCAGCCGGCUGCCCUCGUUGGUGGUCCGAGUUUUGGGGUAUUUACACACACGAAUGUAAUGGAAUGUCCAUCGUGCUUAACUGCACAUCUAAUACAACUUUCAACAACGGAUCUCUUGGCUCUCGCAUCGAUGAAGAACGCAGCGAAAUGCGAUAAGUAAUGUGAAUUGCAGAAUUCAGUGAAUCAUCGAAUCUUUGAACGCACCUUGCACCCUCUGGUAUUCCGGAGGGUACGCCCGUUUGAGUGUCAUUGUAAUCUCACACCUCAGGAUUCUGUCUUCGAGGUAUGUGGACUUGGAUGCUGUCGCCUGACUGUGGCUCAUCUCAAAUGCAUGAGUGUACCCUGCUUUUUGUGGUGUAUUCGGUGUGAUAAGCAUUCUUCACCGGAGUUGGUCCCUCGGGGCACAUCGCAGUGGCUUGGCUCUACGCUUCCAACGGUCUUCGGACAAUGCUUGACAUUUUGACCUCAAAUCGGGUGGGACUACCCGCUGAACUUAAGCAUAUCAAUAAGCGGAGGAAAAGAAACUAACAAGGAUUCCCCUAGUAACGGCGAGUGAAGAGGGAUGAGCUCAAAUUUUGAAUCUGGUGUCUUCGAUGCCCGAGUUGUAAACUAGAGAAGUGUUUUCCGUGUUGGACCGUGCACAAGUUCCCUGGAACGGGGCGUCAUAGAGGGUGAGAAUCCCGUAUAUGGCACGGACUCCCUUCACAUUGUGAUACACUCUCGACGAGUCGAGUUGUUUGGGAAUGCAGCUCAAAAUGGGUGGUAAAUUCCAUCUAAAGCUAAAUAUUGGCGAGAGACCGAUAGCGAACAAGUACCGCGAGGGAAAGAUGAAAAGCACUUUGGAAAGAGAGUGAAACAGUACGUGAAAUUGUUGAAAGGGAAGCGUUUAAAGUCAGUCACGCUCGUUGGAACUCAGCCUGGCUUCUGCCUGGUGCACUUUCUUAUGAGCGGGUCAGCGUCAAUUUUGACCGAGGGAGAAAGGUGUUGGGAAUGUGGCAGUCCUUGGGCUGUGUUAUAGCCCUUCACUGUAUGUCUUGGUUGGGAUUGAGGGCUGCAGCGCGCCUUUAUGGCUGGGGUUUUGUGCCCUCGGUACGCGCUUAGGAUGCUGGCAUAAUGGCUUUAAGCGACCCGUCUUG